Long non-coding RNA from Pyrus x bretschneideri (Chinese white pear), 1073 nucleotides. RefSeq lists it as uncharacterized. NCBI's taxonomy places the organism in Eukaryota, Viridiplantae, Streptophyta, Magnoliopsida, Rosales, Rosaceae. The transcript is spliced from 3 exons. The record is from RefSeq and is a predicted model, not a curated record.
AGUCGUGAGAACAAAAGGCCAGUGAUACCAUAUUUGAUAAAAUAUGAUUUCAUUUCAUAAGGAAAUAAUGUUACACUUUUAGUAUUUAUAGACUAGUAUCUUGUAACUACUAAGGAAAACAAAUACAACAAACUAACAGAUUUCUUAACCACUAAGUAAUAUCUUUAGAUGGUGUAGUUACAAUAUUGCCCUUUAUAGCUAGCCCAUGUGGUGGAUGUAAUCCCAUUUUCCAGCCCAUUGGGGAUGAAAUUUUUCGUUAGAGCUACAAAUGUGGUAGCUUCAAGGAGGAUAAAGCCUCCAUUGGGAAUGCUCUUACAAACUUACAAUGGCCAUAAGACUAGAAGAGUUUGUUUCUUAGAAAACCUCAGCUUAUGUAAGCCAACAUGACGUGCAUAUUCCAGAGAUCAGCGCGAGGGAAACAUUUGAUUUCUCUGCGUGUUGUCAAGUUGCAGGAAGCCGAGCUGGGAUAAUUAUGGAAGUCAGUAAAAGGGAAAAGCAGACAGGAACAUGCUGCUAUAGUGUUCGGAAUGGGUUAUGUCACAAACUCUUUUAUUAUUCAUGUCAAAAAGGGGAAGGUUUGCACCUUUACUCAAACAAAUGCCUUCUAAAUUUUGUUUCUCUUUAAAGGGAGGCUUGAUUGAUUGGGAUUCUUUGAACCACAACUCCAUUGUCAAUAGCGCAAGAGGAUAUGGUGCUAGAGUUCGUGUUUUCGAAGUUCCAACAGAGUGGAGUGGGCUGCGUCUGAUCUCUGGUUUGAAUUAACCUUGCCGUUUUCGUUAUUAGCACAGUGAAAGGUCGGUAUUUCUAACACUUUUGUUUCCUUUUUUGUGUAUGUUGGUGCAUGUUUCCUCUCCCGUUUUCUUUCUUAGAAAGCUAAACCACCGUUGCUCUCAAGUUGUCUCUCGCCGAUCUCCUCUUCUUUGCACCUCCUCCGAAACACCUCUGUUAAAAUUCAACCCCAAUUGUAUUUUCUCUCUCAUUCUCCGCAUUUCAGAAGAUUUCAGUUUUUCGCCUUUGUAAGCGAUAUGUCUCUGAAAGCACCAUAAUUUUGUGUUUAAUUUUGCUUGUUGUGU